AGAGUUUGAUCCUGGCUCAGGAUGAACGCUGGCGGCGUGCCUAACACAUGCAAGUCGAACGGGGUUAUAGAGAGGAAGUUUUCGGAUGGAAUCGAUAUAACCUAGUGGCGGACGGGUGAGUAACGCGUGGGAAACCUGCCCUGUACCGGGGGAUAACACUUAGAAAUAGGUGCUAAUACCGCAUAAGCGCACAGGAGCGCAUGCUCCAGUGUGAAAAACUCCGGUGGUACAGGAUGGUCCCGCGUCUGAUUAGCCAGUUGGCAGGGUAACGGCCUACCAAAGCGACGAUCAGUAGCCGGCCUGAGAGGGUGGACGGCCACAUUGGGACUGAGACACGGCCCAAACUCCUACGGGAGGCAGCAGUGGGGAAUAUUGCACAAUGGGGGAAACCCUGAUGCAGCGACGCCGCGUGAGUGAAGAAGUAUUUCGGUAUGUAAAGCUCUAUCAGCAGGGAAGAAAAUGACGGUACCUGAGUAAGAAGCCCCGGCUAACUACGUGCCAGCAGCCGCGGUAAUACGUAGGGGGCGAGCGUUAUCCGGAUUUACUGGGUGUAAAGGGAGCGUAGACGGCAAUGCAAGUCUGAAGUGAAACCCCAAGGCUCAACCAUGGGCAUGCUUUGGAAACUGUGUAGCUAGAGUGCAGGAGAGGCAGGCGGAAUUCCUAGUGUAGCGGUGAAAUGCGUAGAUAUUAGGAGGAACACCAGUGGCGAAGGCGGCCUGCUGGACUGAAACUGACGUUGAGGCUCGAAGGCGUGGGGAGCAAACAGGAUUAGAUACCCUGGUAGUCCACGCGGUAAACGAUGAUUGCUAGGUGUAGGUGGGUAUGGACCCAUCGGUGCCGCAGCUAACGCAAUAAGCAAUCCACCUGGGGAGUACGUUCGCAAGAAUGAAACUCAAAGGAAUUGACGGGGACCCGCACAAGCGGUGGAGCAUGUGGUUUAAUUCGAAGCAACGCGAAGAACCUUACCAAGUCUUGACAUCCCAGUCGAUAUACCGUAAUGGGUAUAGCCCUAAGGGGGACUGGAGACAGGUGGUGCAUGGUUGUCGUCAGCUCGUGUCGUGAGAUGUUGGGUUAAGUCCCGCAACGAGCGCAACCCUUAUCUUUAGUAGCCAGCAGGUAAAGCUGGGGACUCUAGAGAGACAGCCGGGGAUAACCCGGAGGAAGGCGGGGAUGACGUCAAAUCAUCAUGCCCCUUAUGAUUUGGGCUACACACGUGCUACAAUGGCAUAAACAGAGGGAAGCGAGAUGGAGACAUGGAGCGAAUCCCAAAAAAGAUGUCCCAGUUCGGAUUGUAGUCUGCAACUCGACUACAUGAAGCUGGAAUCGCUAGUAAUCGCAGAUCAGAAUGCUGCGGUGAAUACGUUCCCGGGUCUUGUACACACCGCCCGUCACACCAUGGGAGUUGGGAAUGCCCGAAGCCUGUGACUAAACCGAAAGGAUAGAGCAGUCGAAGGCAGGUCUAAUGACUGGGGUGAAGUCGUAACAAGGUAACC
Molecule: ribosomal RNA, 1493 nt
Filed under: uncultured bacterium
Lineage: Bacteria
Description: 16S ribosomal RNA
Rfam family: Bacterial small subunit ribosomal RNA
Source: RNAcentral